AUUGAACGCUGGCGGCAUGCCUUACACAUGCAAGUCGAACGGUAACGCGGGGCAACCUGGCGACGAGUGGCGAACGGGUGAGUAAUGCAUCGGAACGUGCCCAACAGUGGGGGAUAGCUCGGCGAAAGCCGGAUUAAUACCGCAUACGACCUACGGGUGAAAGCGGGGGAUCGCAAGACCUCGCGCUGAUGGAGCGGCCGAUGUCAGAUUAGGUUGUUGGUGAGGUAAAGGCUCACCAAGCCGACGAUCUGUAGCUGGUCUGAGAGGACGACCAGCCACACUGGGACUGAGACACGGCCCAGACUCGUACGGGAGGCAGCAGUGGGGAAUUUUGGACAAUGGGGGCAACCCUGAUCCAGCCAUGCCGCGUGCGGGAAGAAGGCCUUCGGGUUGUAAACCGCUUUUGUCGGGGAAGAAACGCUCUGGGCUAAUAUCCUGGGGUAAUGACGGUACCCGAAGAAUAAGCACCGGCUAACUACGUGCCAGCCGCCGCAGUAA
This 498-nucleotide ribosomal RNA is filed under the name uncultured bacterium. RNAcentral's name for it is "partial 16S ribosomal RNA". It matches the Rfam family "Bacterial small subunit ribosomal RNA", at positions 29 to 523 of the family's 1533-position model. The record is from RNAcentral.